Molecule: small nuclear RNA, 178 nt
Filed under: Sparus aurata (gilthead seabream)
Lineage: Eukaryota; Metazoa; Chordata; Actinopteri; Spariformes; Sparidae
Description: U2 spliceosomal RNA (ENSSAUG00010010359.1)
Rfam family: U2 spliceosomal RNA
About the family: U2 is a small nuclear RNA (snRNA) component of the spliceosome (involved in pre-mRNA splicing).
Source: Rfam by way of RNAcentral
AUACAUUUUUUCGUAAGAAGAAAACCCUUUUGUUGUCAGUUUAAUAUCUGAUAGGUCCUCUAUAUGGGGACAACAUAUUAAAUGGAUUUUUAGCCUCGGAAGCUGAAACAGGGGCUUGCUUUGUUGACUCCACGCAUCGACCCAGUAUUGCGGCGCCGCUGGGAACGGUGCACCCCUC